This 129-nucleotide ribosomal RNA is filed under the name Lachancea waltii. RNAcentral describes it as "partial 26S ribosomal RNA". The record is from RNAcentral. Lineage: Eukaryota; Fungi; Ascomycota; Saccharomycetes; Saccharomycetales; Saccharomycetaceae.
GGCCAGCAUCAGUUUUGGUUUGAGAAUAAAUCAUAGGAAUGUAGCUUAGUAGAGGAAGUAUUAUAGCCUAUGGGAAUACAGCCAACUGGGAAUGAGGACUGCGACGUAAGUCAAGGAUGCUGGCAUAAU